RNAcentral lists this ribosomal RNA (860 nucleotides) under uncultured bacterium. RNAcentral describes it as "bacterial SSU rRNA". It matches the Rfam family "Bacterial small subunit ribosomal RNA", at positions 30 to 871 of the family's 1533-position model. The record is from RNAcentral.
CGAACGCUGGCGGCGUGCCCAAUACAUGCAAGUAGAACGCUGAAGAAGAGGAGCUUGCUCUUCUUGGAUGAGUUGCGAACGGGUGAGUAACGCGUAGGUAACCUGCCUUGUAGCGGGGGAUAACUAUUGGAAACGAUAGCUAAUACCGCAUAACAAUGGAUGACUCAUGUCAUUUAUUUGAAAGGGGCAAAUGCUCCACUACAAGAUGGACCUGCGUUGUAUUAGCUAGUAGGUGAGGUAACGGCUCACCUAGGCGACGAUACAUAGCCGACCUGAGAGGGUGAUCGGCCUCACUGGGACUGAGACACGGCCCAGACUCCUACGGGAGGCUGCAGUAGGGAAUCUUCGGCAAUGGGGGCAACCCUGACCGAGCAACGCCGCGUGAGUGAAGAAGGUUUUCGGAUCGUAAAGCUCUGUUGUAAGUCAAGAACGAGUGUGAGAGUGGAAAGUUCACACUGUGACGGUAGCUUACCAGAAAGGGACGGCUAACUACGUGCCAGCAGCCGCGGUAAUACGUAGGUCCCGAGCGUUGUCCGGAUUUAUUGGGCGUAAAGCGAGCGCAGGCGGUUUGAUAAGUCUGAAGUUAAAGGCUGUGGCUCAACCAUAGUUCGCUUUGGAAACUGUCAAACUUGAGUGCAGAAGGGGAGAGUGGAAUUCCAUGUGUAGCGGUGAAAUGCGUAGAUAUAUGGAGGAACACCGGUGGCGAAAGCGGCUCUCUGGUCUGUAACUGACGCUGAGGCUCGAAAGCGUGGGGAGCGAACAGGGUUAGAUACCCUGGUAGUCCACGCCGUAAACGAUGAGUGCUAGGUGUUGGAUCCUUUCCGGGAUUCAGUGCCGCAGCUAACGCAUUAAGCACUCCG